ACGCACGCUGGCGGCGUGCUUCACACAUGCCAGUCGCACGGAAAGGCCCUGCUUUUGUGGGGUGCUCGAGUGGCGAACGGGUGAGUAACACGUGAGUAACCUGCCCUUGACUUUGGGAUAACUUCAGGAAACUGGGGCUAAUACCGGAUAGGAGCUCCUGCUGCAUGGUGGGGGUUGGAAAGUUUCGGCGGUUGGGGAUGGACUCGCGGCUUAUCAGCUUGUUGGUGGGGUAGUGGCUUACCAAGGCUUUGACGGGUAGCCGGCCUGAGAGGGUGACCGGCCACAUUGGGACUGAGAUACGGCCCAGACUCCUACGGGAGGCAGCAGUGGGGAAUAUUGCACAAUGGGCGGAAUCCUGAUGCAGCAACGCCGCGUGCGGGAUGACGGCCUUCGGGUUGUAAACCGCUUUCGCCUGUGACGAAGCGUGAGUGACGGUAAUGGGUAAAGAAGCACCGGCUAACUACGUG
RNAcentral lists this ribosomal RNA (467 nucleotides) under uncultured bacterium. Its description in RNAcentral is "partial 16S ribosomal RNA". It matches the Rfam family "Bacterial small subunit ribosomal RNA", at positions 29 to 507 of the family's 1533-position model. The record is from RNAcentral.